This 253-nucleotide ribosomal RNA is filed under the name uncultured bacterium. RNAcentral describes it as "partial 16S ribosomal RNA". It matches the Rfam family "Bacterial small subunit ribosomal RNA", at positions 524 to 776 of the family's 1533-position model. The record is from RNAcentral.
UACGAAGGGAGCUAGCGUUGUUCGGAAUUACUGGGCGUAAAGCGCACGUAGGCGGGCUCUUAAGUCAGGGGUGAAAUCCCGAGGCUCAACCUCGGAACUGCCUUUGAUACUGAGAGGCUCGAGGUCCGUAGAGGUGAGUGGAAUUCCUGGUGUAGAGGUGAAAUUCGUAGAGAUUUGGAGGAACACCAGUGGCGAAGGCGGCCCACUGGACGAAAUCUGACGCUGAGGUGCGAAAGCGUGGGGAGCAAACAGG